AAUCCAUAGGUUAAUGAGGCGAACCGGGGGAACUGAAACAUCUAAGUACCCCGAGGAAAAGAAAUCAACCGAGAUUCCCCCAGUAGCGGCGAGCGAACGGGGAGGAGCCCAGAGCCUGAAUCAGCAUGUGUGUUAGUGGAAGCGUCUGGAAAGGCGCGCGAUACAGGGUGACAGCCCCGUACACAAAAGCGCAUGUGCUGUGAGCUCGAUGAGUAGGGCGGGACACGUGGUAUCCUGUCUGAAUAUGGGGGGACCAUCCUCCAAGGCUAAAUACUCCUGACUGACCGAUAGUGAACCAGUACCGUGAGGGAAAGGCGAAAAGAACCCCGGCGAGGGGAGUGAAAAAGAACCUGAAACCGUGUACGUACAAGCAGUGGGAGCCCCACCACUAAGCCAGUGGUGAACUCCACAUACGCAUCCUUUGCUGAGGAUACGGUUAACGGAGCGAAAGCGACGUUCAACCGCAAAAGAAGCAGAGGGGGCUUAGUGGUGGGGUGACUGCGUACCUUUUGUAUAAUGGGUCAGCGACUUAUAUUCUGUAGCAAGGUUAACCGUAUAGGGGAGCCGGAGGGAAACCGAGUCUUAAUUGGGCGUUAAGUUGCAGGGUAUAGACCCGAAACCCGGUGAUCUAGCCAUGGGCAGGUUGAAGGUUGGGUAACACUAACUGGAGGACCGAACCGACUAAUGUUGAAAAAUUAGCGGAUGACCUGUGGCUGGGGGUGAAAGGCCAAUCAAACCGGGAGAUAGCUGGUUCUCCCCGAAAGCUAUUUAGGUAGCGCCUCGUGAAUUCAUCUCCGGGGGUAGAGCACUGUUUCGGCUAGGGGGCCAUCCCGGCUUACCAACCCGAUGCAAACUGCGAAUACCGGAGAAUGUUAUCACGGGAGACACACGGCGGGUGCUAACGUCCGUCGUGAAGAGGGAAACAACCCAGACCGCCAGCUAAGGUCCCAAAGUCAUGGUUAAGUGGGAAACGAUGUGGGAAGGCCCAGACAGCCAGGAUGUUGGCUUAGAAGCAGCCAUCAUUUAAAGAAAGCGUAAUAGCUCACUGGUCGAGUCGGCCUGCGCGGAAGAUGUAACGGGGCUAAACCAU
RNAcentral lists this ribosomal RNA (1090 nucleotides) under Salmonella enterica. RNAcentral describes it as "partial 23S ribosomal RNA". It matches the Rfam family "Bacterial large subunit ribosomal RNA", at positions 161 to 1190 of the family's 2925-position model. RNAcentral also lists the same sequence under 1 other name. The record is from RNAcentral. Lineage: Bacteria; Pseudomonadati; Pseudomonadota; Gammaproteobacteria; Enterobacterales; Enterobacteriaceae.